This 1235-nucleotide long non-coding RNA is filed under the name Salmo salar (Atlantic salmon). RNAcentral describes it as "lncRNA (ENSSSAG00000071650.2)". The record is from RNAcentral. Lineage: Eukaryota; Metazoa; Chordata; Actinopteri; Salmoniformes; Salmonidae.
AUCUUCCUCCUCUGUAGGUUUUUCUGUGUCCUACCAAACACACAUCAGUUUUCUCACAUGACAAUCUAUGUGUGGAGUUCACUUCACUGACGGAAGAAAGUGGAAAAUAUGUCUUUGUCUUAUAUUCUUCUCAUUUAUGUCGCCGGUGUUGCGGUAAAAGAAAGUUGUGCAGAUUCGGUUCCCACUCCCACUAUUGUAUUUUCCUCUGGGUACAUCAAUGUAGCUACACCUGUUACAGUACGCUGUGAGUCACCAAAAGGCACAGAGUGCAAGUUCUACAGAGAUCACCAACCCAACCCUAUAAGAAAACUGGAUUACAAGCAGGGUGCUUGCCAGUUCAAGUUGUUAUGGAAUGAGUUCAAAAAGUGGAACAAGACUGAAGUUGAUCUCAGCUGUGUAAUUCUACAGAAUAGAGAAGAUAAAACGAUCAAAACCUCAAAACCUAGUGAUGCUCGAAGACUUAUAGUGAGUGAUCCAAUUGGAAUGCCCAGUGUUCAUGUGGAGAAGAUCGGGAAUUACCUCAAUCUUCGAUGUGAGGCCAAGGCUUGCACCUCAUGCUACUUUUAUCUGAACAAUGGUGACUCACACUUUAAUAAACAACCCUACAAAGACAAUGUCUGUGUGGGGAGAGUGGCAGAAGAGGAACUGCAGAGGAAGAUGAGCAGUGCUGGAGAGAACUUCAUCACCUGUGCUGUGGAGCUGGUGAUAGAGGGUGAAGAUACUGUGACAUCACAGCAUAGUGAACCCCUCGGUAUCACCAUAGAUGUUGUAAAUCCUCCAGGAGCAACUAGUUCCCCGUCAGAGUUCAGUUUAAUCAUACCUGUUCAGGAGGAGACAAGCAGCAAUGUCACAGCCCAAGGAAGAGGUGAGUAACAUUGGUUUGGUUUUAGAUCAACUGUGAAAAUAUUAUCAUGACAAUCCUCUGUUUGUCUAUUUCUGUAUUGCAAGACUAAUACUGUAUAUAAUUAUUGUACAUACUGUGUAUAUCAUUGUUUUAUAUAUUUUGGUUGUUAAUCCUCCUGGAGCCACCAGUUCCAUCCCACUUGGAGAGGAUAGGUCAGUCAGUAGUAUAACUACACAAGGAGAAGGUGUAUUAAAUAAACAUGGUUAUUGUGAGCUCAGUUUGUCUAAAUACAUCAGCAAGUGCCUAUUCAGAUACUGUUUUUGAGAGUGAUGUCCCUUUCCCUUCCAGAAUCCGUCUCAGUGAUCCCCUUCUACCAGUAUACCAGUCUUCG